UUUAUGGAGAGUUUGAUCCUGGCUCAGAGUGAACGCUGGCGGCGUGCCUAAUACAUGCAAGUCGAACGAUGAAGCUUCUAGCUUGCUAGAGUGCUGAUUAGUGGCGCACGGGUGAGUAACGCAUAGGUCAUGUGCCUCUUAGUUUGGGAUAGCCAUUGGAAACGAUGAUUAAUACCAGAUACUCCCUACGGGGGAAAGAUUUAUCGCUAAGAGAUCAGCCUAUGUCCUAUCAGCUUGUUGGUAAGGUAAUGGCUUACCAAGGCUAUGACGGGUAUCCGGCCUGAGAGGGUGAACGGACACACUGGAACUGAGACACGGUUCAGACUCCUACGGGAGGCAGCAGUAGGGAAUAUUGCUCAAUGGGGGAAACCCUGAAGCAGCAACGCCGCGUGGAGGAUGAAGGUUUUAGGAUUGUAAACUCCUUUUGUUAGAGAAGAUAAUGACGGUAUCUAACGAAUAAGCACCGGCUAACUCCGUGCCAGCAGCCGCGGUAAUACGGAGGGUGCAAGCGUUACUCGGAAUCACUGGGCGUAAAGAGCGCGUAGGCGGGAUAGUCAGUCAGGUGUGAAAUCCUAUGGCUUAACCAUAGAACUGCAUUUGAAACUACUAUUCUAGAGUGUGGGAGAGGUAGGUGGAAUUCUUGGUGUAGGGGUAAAAUCCGUAGAGAUCAAGAGGAAUACUCAUUGCGAAGGCGACCUGCUGGAACAUUACUGACGCUGAUUGCGCGAAAGCGUGGGGAGCAAACAGGAUUAGAUACCCUGGUAGUCCACGCCCUAAACGAUGGAUGCUAGUUGUUGGAGGGCUUAGUCUUUCCAGUAAUGCAGCUAACGCAUUAAGCAUCCCGCCUGGGGAGUACGGUCGCAAGAUUAAAACUCAAAGGAAUAGACGGGGACCCGCACAAGCGGUGGAGCAUGUGGUUUAAUUCGAAGAUACACGAAGAACCUUACCUAGGCUUGACAUUGAGAGAAUCCGCUAGAAAUAGUGGAGUGUCUGGCUUGCCAGACCUUGAAAACAGGUGCUGCACGGCUGUCGUCAGCUCGUGUCGUGAGAUGUUGGGUUAAGUCCCGCAACGAGCGCAACCCCCUUUCUUAGUUGCUAACAGGUCAUGCUGAGAACUCUAAGGAUACUGCCUCCGUAAGGAGGAGGAAGGUGGGGACGACGUCAAGUCAUCAUGGCCCUUACGCCUAGGGCUACACACGUGCUACAAUGGGGUGCACAAAGAGAAGCAAUACUGCGAAGUGGAGCCAAUCUUCAAAACGCCUCUCAGUUCGGAUUGCAGGCUGCAACUCGCCUGCAUGAAGCUGGAAUCGCUAGUAAUCGCAAAUCAGCCAUGUUGCGGUGAAUACGUUCCCGGGUCUUGUACUCACCGCCCGUCACACCAUGGGAGUUGUGUUUGCCUUAAGUCAGGAUGCUAAAUUAGCUACUGCCCACGGCACACACAGCGACUGGGGUGAAGUCGUAACAAGGUAACCGUAGGUGAACCUGCGGUUGGAUCACCUCCUUUCUAGA
RNAcentral lists this ribosomal RNA (1509 nucleotides) under Helicobacter pylori. RNAcentral describes it as "bacterial SSU rRNA". It matches the Rfam family "Bacterial small subunit ribosomal RNA". Lineage: Bacteria; Pseudomonadati; Campylobacterota; Epsilonproteobacteria; Campylobacterales; Helicobacteraceae. The record is from RNAcentral.